AGAGCGAACGCUGGCGGCAGGCUUAACACAUGCAAGUCGAGCGGGCGUAGCAAUACGUCAGCGGCAGACGGGUGAGUAACGCGUGGGAACAUACCUUUUGGUUCGGAACAACCCAGGGAAACUUGGGCUAAUACCGGAUAAGCCCUUACGGGGAAAGAUUUAUCGCCGAAAGAUUGGCCCGCGUCUGAUUAGCUAGUUGGUGAGGUAACGGCUCACCAAGGCGACGAUCAGUAGCUGGUCUGAGAGGAUGAUCAGCCACAUUGGGACUGAGACACGGCCCAAACUCCUACGGGAGGCAGCAGUGGGAAUAUUGGACAAUGGGCGCAAGCCUGAUCCAGCCAUGCCGCGUGAGUGAUGAAGGCCCUAGGGUUGUAAAGCUCUUUUGUGCGGAAGAUAAUGACGGUACCGCAAGAAUAACGCCCGGCUAACUUCGUGCCAGCAGCCGC
Molecule: ribosomal RNA, 446 nt
Filed under: uncultured bacterium
Lineage: Bacteria
Description: SSU rRNA
Rfam family: Bacterial small subunit ribosomal RNA
Source: RNAcentral